GAUGAACGCUGGCGGCGUGCCUAAUACAUGCAAGUCGAGCGAACAGACGAGGAGCUUGCUCCUCUGACGUUAGCGGCGGACGGGUGAGUAACACGUGGAUAACCUACCUAUAAGACUGGGAUAACUUCGGGAAACCGGAGCUAAUACCGGAUAAUAUAUUGAACCGCAUGGUUCAAUAGUGAAAGACGGUUUUGCUGUCACUUAUAGAUGGAUCCGCGCCGCAUUAGCUAGUUGGUAAGGUAACGGCUUACCAAGGCAACGAUGCGUAGCCGACCUGAGAGGGUGACCGGACACACUGGAACUGAGACACGGUCCAGACUCCGACGGGAGGCAGAAGUAGGGAAUCUUCCGCAAUGGGCGAAAGCCGGACGGAGCAACGCCGCGUGAGGGAUGAAGGUCUUCGGAUCGUAAAACUCUGUUAUUAGGGAAGAACAAAUGUGUAAGUAACUAUGCACGUCUUGACGGUACCUAAUCAGAAAGCCACGGCUAACUACGGG
This 497-nucleotide ribosomal RNA is filed under the name uncultured bacterium. RNAcentral describes it as "partial 16S ribosomal RNA". It matches the Rfam family "Bacterial small subunit ribosomal RNA", at positions 28 to 507 of the family's 1533-position model. The record is from RNAcentral.